UACGUAGGGAGCAAGCGUUGUCCGGAAUCAUUGGGCGUAAAGCGCGCGUAGGCGGCCCUGUAAGUCCGUUGUGAAAGUCAAAGGCUCAACCUUUGAAAGCCGAUGGAUACUGCAGGGCUAGAGUUCGGAAGAGGCGAGUGGAAUUCCUGGUGUAGCGGUGGAAUGCGCAGAUAUCAGGAGGAACACCAAUAGCGGAGGCAGCUCGCUGGGACGAUACUGACGCUAAGGCGCGAAAGCGUGGGGAGCGAACAGG
This 253-nucleotide ribosomal RNA is filed under the name uncultured bacterium. Its description in RNAcentral is "partial 16S ribosomal RNA". It matches the Rfam family "Bacterial small subunit ribosomal RNA", at positions 524 to 776 of the family's 1533-position model. The record is from RNAcentral.